CCGAGUAGUUCUUCACCAGUCUUUUCCAUGUCAAGAUCAGCACUGAGUAUGAAAGUAUUGAUUUUCAAAAUGCAUAUCAAAUUUACACAUUUGCCACUAGCCAGUUUAUCACCACCUGCUAUCUUGUAUUCAAUUCUGUUACACAAGAGUGUAAAUUAAUGCGGAGUGCAAUCCUCGUAAUUAUUAUAGUUGGGGAGCAAAUGGGGCUGUGCAUAUGCAAGUAUCUAAUUAGCCACGUAAUGGUCGCAUACACGUGAAAAUACCCUGUUCAACUAUGAAAUCGUACCGACUGCUUCAGCUUAUACAACGGUGUGUAUAGUUGCCUUCCUUGCAUAAGGAGAAUUAGGCCUUCUGUUUUUAAUAAUACUGCACCAUUCUGUUCAAUUCUGAGCCCUUAAUCUUGCAUCACAGUAGAACACUCCGGUAGCAACAAAUAAUUGUGUGUUUUUCACACUUUCCAUUUUGUAAAAUGCUACUUCCUGACCUCUGUGAAAUGCAUACAGUGGGCUACUUUGAUGUAUAAUUAGAUUAAUCUUAACUAAAAAGUAUCCUGGUGUAGCUGUGACAGUAAAAAGAAUAAGAUUUUACCUACUCAGGAAUUUUAAUUUUCAGUUGUCUUUUCUCAUGAGAGCUCUGUUGUCUUAGUAUGUCACACAUAGUUUCACCACUUCUGUUUGUUUUAGACUGAGACAACUUGGCCUUAUUAGCUUCUUCUAUCCCCUUCAGUUUUGGUGGGGUCUCAAGUGCCUCCUUAGUUCUAUUGCAAAAGGAAGUCCUCAUAAACCACAUAAAGCCCUAAAAAAGCUGAGGGCAAAAUUGAAUGGAUCUUUGCUCUCAUUGGCUGCAUCUUCCCCUCAUGCAGUGCUGCCACGGGUGUCUAAAGCUCUGCAAAGGGAAAGAGAAUUGCAGGCUGCUGGCUCUCCAUGUCAGAGAGCAUGCAUUCACUCCCAGUACCUUUUCUGGAUCUGCCAAAUGUAUUGCUGGGAUUUCUAGGAUACAACAUCAUCAUUUCAGCACUUCUGUAAUUUACAGACAAAGAACUACGAAAUAGGAACAUAGCUAGGAGGAUUGGGCAUAGUAUGAAGUCAUGCUGUCUAAGGCUGGCCAGAUACUUGCCUUUCCACUCAACUUGUAGAGGCAAAUUUGCUCAUUUCUGAACGUUCUCUACUUCUUUUAGAUGAGCAUCAGCAAGACUGAUAAAAAAAUAGUUGGUGUGUUUUUACUUGGAACUUCUCUCCAAAAAAUGAGAAUUUACUUUGCUUAUAUAGAGUAAUUAAGAAUACUCAUACUCAAUAAUUAAUUUGGGGGUUAAUUUUACCUCUCCCCCCUCUCCCAAUGCAGGCAUCUGCAUACUUCUGUACAUGCACAUAUGCAUACUCCAUUAAAAUUACAUCAGCAUAAGUAUGAAUAUCAUGAACCAAAAGUUUGGCAUCCCUACUAUAGUGACAGCUGACUGCCACCUAUGGGCAGGAGUUCAUGUUAACAUAUUUAGCUAGAAUUUUAAUAUUAUUCUUUGCAAUUAAUUCAAUUUGUAAUUGUUCUAGUAGGACAGAGCUUCAAUUCAUUUGCUAUAUAUUUGUCCACGGCAAUCACUUCUCCCUCUGAAAACUGAAUAUUAAAACCAGCUUCUUUAUGAAGGGGAAUCAGCUUUGCGACGAUUAAAAAAAAUGGGGUAGGACGUUCUUAUUUCUGUUAUCUGAAUAAGGAAUAAAUAGAAGCACCCUACUUCUCCAAGCAAAGAAAAAUGACUCAGUGGUACACAGACAGGCACAUCAACAAGAUAAUGCUGUAUUUAAUGAUUACUGUAAUUUUAAAGUUUAGCCAUCUCAAGGUUGUAAUAUUUUGUUGACGGCCUUCUUUUACUAAAUACAUACAAAUAGGCUGGUUAUGCAGUCCCGUGAAAAUGUGUAUAUAAUUAGUAUGUCAUAGUAAUUCUCUAUUCAAAAAUUUUCAUUUUUCCGAGGAAAAUGAUGGCUAAAGUGGGGGAAGAGAAAGAAGAGCAGAAAAAUGUAUGGCUUGAUUAUGUAAGCCUUGAUUUUUCUGAUAAUCAGUGCUCAUUUACGAAAGAAAAAAAGCAAGUGCAGACUGAAAUGUCAAAUUCAUUGUAUUAAAAAUCGUGUUUCUAAUUCAGCUUCCAGGUACUUAAAAGCAAAUAGGCUGACAAUUCUGUCUAUUUGAUUACAAAUAACAAAAAUGCUCGACUACAGCUACUACAUCGUAGUAUGCUGCAGUAUAUCGUGCAGCCCUCAUCAUUUCUCAGAAAUAACAUACGUAAACAUAGCUGGAACAGUUUAGCGAAUUAAUACAUACAUUUUCGUUUGGGAAAAAAGAUCAUUUUACUUCAGUCAGCAGAAGGUAUUUGUAACCAUAACAUGCUUCCCUUUUUGGGGAAGGAGCGCAGAAUUUUUGAGGGAACAGAGACAGAAAUGAACUUUAAAAGGGGAAAAUAUGUUAAAAGAGACAGAAACUUACAGGAACUAAGAAUGAGUUUGAUAUGAUGAAUUUUUCAAGAUCCCCCUUUUAAAGUAAUUUUAUUUCUGGGCCUCCUCAUUUGUGUUCCACUCUGUUAAAUAUUUUUUUUGAGAUAGUCUGGUAAUUGUAAGUAUUACAUUUGUGCUCAUCUCAUGCGUUUUCACUAAGUUUUAUUUCUAAAGUUACGUCGUAAACUUGGGAAAUACUGUACAAGCAGCAUACACCAUUUUGGUAUCAGACGUUAUCACGUCGGCAUUUCAUGCUUACCCUCCAACAGCAUAAGCACCCUUUAUCAUCUAUGGAAUUCUGACAUUUAUGGUAAAAUAUUUGUACUCAGUACACAAAGGGAUUUUGAAACUUAAGUAACUGUGUUACACAGCAAUUUAAUUCCAAUACAUUUUGCUUCUUACUACUGAAUUAAGAUUGCAAAAACAGUCUGACUUUCUUGUGUCCGACCGGUAACAUUCCCUUGCAUUUUCAAACCACGGUUUAAACCGAACCCACUCAGACUCUUUGGAUAGAAACUUCAUAUCAGACAAAAAUUACUCUUUAGCACGUUUGAUGAAUCCAGCUUAAAACCAAACACAGAACUGCAUGAACAUCUGCGACAAACGACUCGCCUCGGCCAUUCUCUUCUUUCUUAUUUAAUCUCCCACUGGAGUACAGUUUAGUUGGUUUGCUAUUUUAUAGUGCAGAUCUCUCCCUCACCAACCUACUGCUUGCAAAAAAGAACUUUAAAAAUUUCCAUGUGUGAGAACAAAACCUGAGCAGAAUAGGGCUGCACCUUUUAAAAUGGGUACUAGCAGGGGAAGGGAAAGCAACGAACAAGCUAGCACUCCAAAUUUCCAGGAGUAACAAAAAGGGGGAAAAAAAUAUAGGAAAAAUGAAACUGAGGACUGUUAAACUAAUAGAUCAGUUACUAGAAUAUGAAACAGAACCGUCCUUUCCUGGUGAUGCUUCACUGACUUGCUGCUUGCAUACCCACACGAGUAUAAACUGAGAGCAAAAUUUUUCUUAAUGUAGGCAGUAUUACGAAUGUUGAGAUAUUCCUGUUUCAGUAUCUUUAAAUCUGAGGCCUUGUUAAAGAAGACGCUACUUGGAAAGAUCUCUGAGAUACCGGCAAACCCUGCUUGGUUUCUCCUGAUUUUCUUCCACAAAUGAUCUGUUUGAUAGACGGGGGAAAAAUAAAAGAGCAAAUAGCAGGCAAAGCACCUUUAAAGUGCUUGUUGUUACUUUUGUGCCUUUUACAAAAAGACGAGGAAAAUUCCACUUCCCAAGUAAAGAAAUACAGAGCAGUGUAACAUCAUAGCUUUAGAAACUAUUCUUUCUGUUUUUCACACAUCACCUCAAUUUCACCCGAAUGCUGCUUAUACUGCGUAACACAGAUUUUACUUUACAUAAUAUCGCUUAGUGCCUAUAUGGAUUAUUUGUUACCUAAUAACUGUUAGAUUGGUCGUGAAUUUUUACUGUGCUAGGUGUUUUUCAGAACAUAGUUACAUGUCUGCAUUUUUUUGGACAAACUUUCAAAAUAUUACUGUAUUCUGGUCUAUUUCACCAUGAUUUAACACUGCAGGAGUGCAUCCAGAUAUUCAUAACACAAUACGCUUGUAGGCACAACUAAACAAAAAGCAGAUUAGCUUGUGAUGUAGUGGAAUGAGUGGGACUUUCUUCUAAUGGAGAAAAACCUGUUUGCUCAUAAUAAUUCCAUUUAUAGCUGAGAAAGGGAGCAAAGCACCUGGAACUGAGUCAGUGUGAAUUCCAGCAAUGCAAUGAGCUUCACAAAAGCUGUGGUUACCUUGUUUUUUAACUAACCACACUGAGCUGACAGCUAUUAACAGUAGCAAGGACUUGCAUAACGAGGACUUGAAGGAAAGCUUAGCACUAUCCAUGCCAGAGCGAUUUAAAGAGAAUGAAGGCACGUAUUUCUUUAUGAUGCAUUAUGUAACAACAUAGAGGGCAAUCUGAGACAUUUAAAAAGAUACGGGGACCCACAUAUAAUUUUACACUUGUUAUUUUAGAGUGCUUAUAACCCAAUGCUUAUGAAACACCUAACUUAGGAAUGUGAUCCUGUAAAAUGAGUUUAAAAUGUUUUUGAAGACGUGUUUUACGUUUUGUACGUGCUUAGAAAAGCAUAGUAGGUCCUACAAUUCAUUUUCUUCAAAAUUCUGCAAUGUAUGCAAUCUCAGAUAAAAUUGUCAAAAUCUAGGAUAGCUGGACCUUCUGGUUCACAUUAGUGUGAAGAGAAAACUGCUGUUGAGCUGACACGUUGAUAGAUUAUGAGUUCUGCUGAAGAAUAGCUAAAAAUGGUGAUUCAAUCUUGUCGCUACUAUAUAAAAAAAAUAACAGAAGUGGAGAUGUUACUCAUGAUAUCGUGUCUUUCAUCAAAACCCUAAAGGGUUCUGGUGCAUUGAACACGUUUUCCUUCUGAGAGCUUUUGGCUGUAUAAAAUAUCGGUGUAAGUAAAUGAAACUAAAUUGGCCUAUUUAAAAAACAAAUAGGAUGAGCUUUUGUGCCCUAAGUUUAUUUAAACAAGAAAAUAAAGAUUGGAAUAUAAAAAGACUGCCUUUUAAGGUGGUAGGUUCUUUUCCUUUUCAGUUUUUACAAUAGAGAUUCUGGUCUUGUAACGAUGAAAUGGAGAGCUGCAGGAUUAUGAAACAACUAAACACGAAGGGCAAAUCUGACUGGAAGAGACAGAGAUAUUAUUGCAAUUAUCUGAAACUUAGCUGGGUUAGUUCCUUCACUAACCUAAAUCAAUGCAGUUCCUCUGAAAUCAAUAGGGUGAUACAGAUUCAUCCAAAACAUACCUGGCAUGUAAGAUAAUGCGUCACCUUCUGUUAGGACACGUAAACAUAAACACAUGUGGAGAGGACUCUUUUCUAUAUAUCUCCUUAACCUUUAAAUACUCGAAACCGUACUUUUAGGAGAGGCAUUUAUGUACUUCUGCUAUUUUACUCCUAUAUCUCUGUUGGUAUGAAUCUCGUGUGGUCAUUUACACUAAAAUAAAGUCAGGUCCAAACGCUGACUUCAGUCCUCAGUGCUCCGUACUUAUCUGUGCUGCUGCAAAUCACCAGGAAGGGCUCAAGAUGGCAGGGAGCCGGGGCCUUGCUGGCUGCUGUCUUCCUCCCGUGAAAAUCACCGAGCGCUCCCACUGCUCAUUUCUGAAUCACCCAAGGCGUCCUGCAACAACAGAAGGGAACCAAGACUUCACAAUCCUCAUCCUCACCGAUGGGAGAGCAGCCAGAGAUUUGCCUGGUUUUGUUCCUGAAGGACUGCUAUGAGUGGGAGGUCUCAAGUGACCAUGGUGGUUUAAAGAAAGAUCUUGUCACGUGACUCUGAAGUAGAGCAAGGGUUGCAGCAGACUUCAACUUUCAGUCCUACAUUGCUUGUUCAAGAAAGGUCUAGAGAAGAAAGUCCUAAAUAGCAUGGUGAAUUAAAAAAAAAAAAAAAAAAAAGAUAAUUGCAGGAGUAUCAUCACAGAAUGGCCUGGGUUGAAAAGGACCACAAAGAUCAUCCAGUUUCAACCCCCUGCUAUGUGCAGGGUCGCCAACCACCAGACCAGGCUGCCCAGAGCCACAUCCAGCCUGGCCUUGAAUGUCUCCAGGAAUGGGGCAUCCACAACCUCCUUGGGCAACCUGUUCCAGUGUGUCACCGCUCUUUGUGUGGAAAAACUUCUUCCUAAUAUCCAACCUAAACCUCCCCUGUCUCAGUUUAAAACCAUUCCCCCUUAUCCUAUCACUGUCCACCCUUGUAAACAGCCGCUCCCCUUCCUGUUUUUACUCUCCCUUCAAGUACUGGAAGGCCACAGUGAGGUCUCCCCAGAGCCUUCUCUUCUCCAAACUAAACAAGCCCAGUUCCCUUAACAUUUCCUCAUAGGAGAGGUGCUCCAGCCCUCUGAUCAUCUUAGUGGCCCUCCUCUGGGCCCGCUCCAAGAGUAGUAAGUCAAUAGCUGAAAAGUGAUGUGAAAAAGAAGGCAGCUAGAAGAAAUAAAGGAUUUCUUAAAACCACUCCCACCCAGCAAUGCUGUUUCUUGUAUCUUUAGUUUCAUCUGCUUCUCGAAGUCUAUCUUGCCAAAUAUGCCUACCUUUCAAAAUUACUCCAGCUUCGGAAUGAAAGUGUCAGCAGUUGCAAGACUCUUGAGGGUAUGAUUAUCUUAUUUCCUGUCUGUCUAUUACAUUUAAACAUCUGCCAAACUGGAAAGGUCAUUUUUCUACUAUGACUCUGGAGUACACUUAAUGAGACUCUUGUUACUGACUGACCUCUUGUACCUGGAGAGAUUAAACAUCUUGGACAAGUUUUCAUUGCUUGAAUCUGUGCCAAAUCCUUUUAAUGCGUGAAGGACUCGAUCACUUUUAAACCAGUGGUAUAGAGCAAACAAGCUUCGGUCUGAUGCCAGGGGGCUGCUUGAUUUUUGCAGUAACAAAACAGAAACUUAUAAGCACCUUGGGUACAGCAAAAGAAAAUAUAUCUGUGCUGAUCUUUGUCAACAGUCUCAUCAGAUUGCUAGGAACGUCCCUCCUACCAGGCUACUUUGCAGCUGUGAAUGAAAGCUCAUUAUCCGUGGCCAGUGCUUACCAUAAGAAGCAUAACCUUAGCUUUCAAAAUAAGGGACUUUUAAAGUAUUUAUGUUGUUAAAAUUGAAGUAAAUCAGAUCAUGUUGCUGUGUUGCUUUUAGCAACUUGCACCUACUCUACUUCCAUCGUACUUAGUGAGAUUUUUCAGCUACAUUUAAAGACUAAGUCUAGAAUGGAGCUCUGUUUAUGAAACACUGGCUAUUAAUGUUUCACAGCAUUUGGCAAUGCUGGUUUUUCUGAUUAUAUUCAACCUUGCUGAACAGGAAUGUUUGCAUCAUUUAAGAGCAAUUUUUUUUUUUUUUUUUGCACUGCCUGUAUUUUGUAUCUUCUCAAACAAAGAGAUGAUGACAGAUGAUGCCUCAAAGAUAAGUAACAUUCUACUAUAUGACCUCUGCCUACAGUAAGUUCUCUAAAUGCACGUGUUUCACCACAUCAUGGCAUGUUACCUACUUUAUUUAUCCAUUCCACUUGAUAUAGCUAUUAAAAACAGCCCUUCUUAGUUGAGUCUUUGCCUCAGGAUCUAAUUCUGUAACUACUUUGACAAAAUUAAAGACUCACAAGAUGAAUGGGCCGCAUGCCCCUGCUAACAAAAUGUGUGUAUCCUCCAAAAACAUUCUGAUUAUUUGAAAAAUCCCUAGGAUAGAUGUCAGUUAAAAUUACAAGGGGAGGGAUUCCAUCCACUCUUUCAUACUUAUUUCCUCCUCUAAACUGUUUCCAUUUUAUUUAUCAAAUAAGCUUUCUGUUGCCAAAUUUCUUUCAUCUUUUUGUAAGUAUUGUUUUUACCUCUUCUGUAUUUUGCAUAUGAGAAAUCCUUUCUACUUAUUUCUAGGCAUUUUCUAAAUAUAUAUUUGUAUCAUUGAUGAUCAUGUUGCAAUCUCAUUUAAAUGAGUAUUUAAACGUAUUCGUCAUUCAUAUAAUUGGAACCAAGCUCAGCAUCAAUAAGUGGCUUAUUAGUGGUCUUAGAGUAAGUGAUAGGAAAGGGCAGAUAAUAGUCAAUUCUUUUGUAACUAUUAUUACAAAACUUUGUAUGCACACUGGGGCUUUGUUGAUACUUGCAUCAGAAAACAGUAAAUGACUAAAUGUGACCCAGCUUCUCACCACCAGCAAUGGUUUUGAUUACAUCAUGACUGAAAACUGCACUGACAGAACCAUAAAAAUGUUUGCAGAACCUGAGCUUGUGGUCUAACAUUAACAAUGAAUCUCCCAGGCAGUUUUCGUGUGCAGUAGGUGAGGAAUGAUGGGCCAGACUAUAGUUUGCUGGGCAAAUGCAAAGAUGGACAAGGAAGAUGGCAAAAUAAUUACUUCACCUGAUCCUUCCUUUGUGUGUUCAAAGCCAGGUUGUAGAAUACAAGAAGUGAUGAAAAGCUGCAAAGGUACAGUGCAGCCCAAGCUUUCCUUAGAGGUGGUACUGAGCAUGCCAGCAGGUUUGCAAAAGCAAGUAGGCUUGGCACAUGUAUGAAGAGGGUGCAUCUAAGACAGUUGCAUGGUCGCACAAAUAUAACUUGAAUAUCUCUGAGUAUUUAAACUGCAUGUGCUGCAAAAAUUAUUUAUUUAUGCCAGUGUAAUUCUACAGGUGGAGUUAUUUCCAUAUAUGCCACUCUCCAGACAGUUGUCCUUGUUCUAAAGUAACAAAUAAUACCUUUUCCCUUACUUUACUAAUCAUGGUGAAAAAGCGUCCACCUGAGAAGUCUCCAUUUUGCCUGACUUCCCCCUAGUUCAUUUUCCUAGUGCAGACAAGUGCUAAAACUAUCAUUGAGGAAGAGUGGGAUGCUAGGAUGUCCUGAGGAUGCCACCUCUGUAUGUAGAAUCCACUGCUGACUCAGAGCAAAUCUGGACCAUUACACAAACCAUUGUCAGCAAUGGAGCACUAUGUUCAGCAAUUUAGGAAGGACAGGCAAGCAAUAUAAAAGAAUCCAAAUAAAGCAACAAAGAUGGUUAGACACAUGGCUGUGUGUUUCACAAGCAAUGAGCUUUCUUAAAAUAACACGGAAGGAAGAAAGAAAAGCCAGAAAAUUAUAUAUCAGCAGUACUAUUUCUAAAAAUAAUGGUUUUCAAACUUUUCCAUGUGGCAUUAACAGCUCUUUAAGGGAUAAUCUUUAUUGCUUUGUAACAUACAAAGCAAUAAACAGCUGCUGAGAUUGAUUAAUAGCCAAAGCAAAGUUGAGGCAUGUAAUCAAUCUAAAAAGCCAUUUAUUGUGAAUAUGCUACAAAGCAAUAGAGAUUACUGCUGUUGCACAACAAACCAUAACAGAGAAAACACACAGACACAUACACACACCCAGCAAAAACAGUUGCUUUCUUUUCAAGGCCCUCUGUGUUAUGCUGCCUUUUUCCUGAGCUUGCAAAUGGCAGUGCCAUUGCCAAAGAAAGGCCACUGGCCCUAUAGCGUAUGGUCUCC
Long non-coding RNA from Gallus gallus (chicken), 9441 nucleotides. The record is from Ensembl. NCBI's taxonomy places the organism in Eukaryota, Metazoa, Chordata, Aves, Galliformes, Phasianidae.